Spiroplasma melliferum KC3 is the source of this 106-nucleotide non-coding RNA. The record is from Rfam. Lineage: Bacteria; Bacillati; Mycoplasmatota; Mollicutes; Entomoplasmatales; Spiroplasmataceae.
AACUUAUUCAGAAGUGGUUAGUACGCUAAACAAUGAUCCACUAGCAACCCUAUAUUUAACUAGAAGGUGCUUUUAGCAGGGCAAAAUGAUAUGCUACCAAUAAGAU